GAUGAACGCUGCCAGAAUGCUUAACACAUGCAAGUCUACUUGAACUUCGGUUUGGGUGGCGGACGGGUGAGUAACGCGUAAAGAACUUGCCUCACAGUUAGGGACAACAUUUGGAAACGAAUGCUAAUACCUGAUAUUAUGAUUUUAGGGCAUCCUAGGAUUAUGAAAGCUAUAUGUGCUGUGAGAGAGCUUUGCGUCCCAUUAGCUAGUUGGAGAGGUAACGGCUCACCAAGGCGAUGAUGGGUAGCCGGCCUGAGAGGGUGAACGGCCACAAGGGGACUGAGACACGGCCCUUACGCCUACGGGAGGCAGCAGUGGGGAAUAUGGGACAAUGGACCAAAAGUCUGAUCCAGCAAUUCUGUGUGCACGAUGACGUUUUUCGGAAUGUAAAGUGCUUUCAGUUGGGAAGAAAAAAAUGACGGUACCAACAGAAGAAGAGACGGCUAAAUACGUG
RNAcentral lists this ribosomal RNA (454 nucleotides) under uncultured bacterium. RNAcentral's name for it is "partial 16S ribosomal RNA". It matches the Rfam family "Bacterial small subunit ribosomal RNA", at positions 28 to 507 of the family's 1533-position model. The record is from RNAcentral.